AUGGAUGCCUCCACUAGCGGCUGUUGCAUGGUGCAAUCAUUUGCUGGGGAGGGAAUCGAAAUCAUUCGCCGCUCCGAGGAUUGGGUUUGGAUCGUGCGUGCGUGGGUGCGCGCGGCCAUCGCCUUGUGCUUGAGCGUGGAGGAGCUGAAGCAGAGCUUGCUGGCGGCGACCAUGGAGCUGGAGGUGUCCAAGGAGGAGCUGCGGCGGAAGGAGCAGAGCAUCGCCAAGCUCGCCGACCUCGUGCGCCAGGUUGCCAAGGAGCGCGACGAGGCGCGGGACCAGGUGCAGCAGCUGCUCCUCGCCGCGGCCAAGCAGGCGGCGCCGCCGGUGCACCACACUGCGCCCGCGCCGGCGCUGGGCACGUCGAGCGUCACCGACUCGGACUGCAGCCUGGUGUCGUCCCCGGUGGACCCCUUCUUCGACCCCGUCACCUCCUCCGACCGGCGCCGCUGCGGCAAGCUCGGCGCCGCCAGCCCGCCCCCGCCGGCCAAGCAGCAGCAGCAGCAGAUGUGCGGCGCCGAGGCGGUGCUCGACAUGCUCGCCGCCAAGAAGCCGCUGCCGCCGAGGGGCCGGCUGCUGCAGUCCGUCAUGGAGGCGGGGCCCCUGCUGCAGAACCUGCUCGUGGCCGGGCCGCUCCCGCGCUGGCGCAACCCGCCCCCGGUGCACGCGCUCGACACGCUCCCCGUCGGCGGCGGCGGAGUCUACAUGAACACGACAACCCUGCACAACGCCGGCGCGCCGCUCGGCUUCGCCCCAAACGCCAACAGCGCCUGCAUGAAGCGGCCGAUGGCGGCGAUCCCCACCAUGCCCAUGGCCGCCACGAGCUGCUCGCCGUCGCCGGGCUUCGUCGCCAAGCGGCACCGGCUGCAUUGA
Molecule: ribosomal RNA, 873 nt
Filed under: Triticum aestivum (bread wheat)
Lineage: Eukaryota; Viridiplantae; Streptophyta; Magnoliopsida; Poales; Poaceae
Description: partial small subunit ribosomal RNA
Source: RNAcentral